UACACACCGCCCGUCACACCAUGGGAGUGGGUUUCACCAGAAGUAGUAGCCUAACCGCAAGGAGGGCGACUACCACGGUGAGAUCAUGACUGGGGUG
This 97-nucleotide ribosomal RNA is filed under the name uncultured bacterium. RNAcentral describes it as "partial 16S ribosomal RNA". It matches the Rfam family "Bacterial small subunit ribosomal RNA", at positions 1384 to 1482 of the family's 1533-position model. The record is from RNAcentral.